AGAACUACGAUUAUUAUUAGCGUCUUUAGCACCUCAAGAGGUGGCUUGCUGUUACUGCAGGCAAUAUGGCUGCGCCCGUAAGGAUACUGUGUUGCUCUGUGUUAAAACACUCCAGCAGACGCUUUAGCACAACGUGUGGCCUUCAAGGGGGAGAAAAGUGGAGAAAAGAGCACGGACUUGCACGCAGUGGAACAGAAUAUGGACCUCUGACAGAUCUACCUGAUUGGUCUUUUGCAGAUGGGACACCAGCACCUCCAAUGAAGGGAAUGUUAAGGCGGCGGCAAGAGAGGGAAGAAUUAGCAAGGCGCAUCGUGAUGCUCAACUCCGAGAUGGACAGAGGCAUGGAGUCUUGGAGAGAGAAAAAAGACGAAGCUCAAAGAAUGGAGGAGCACAAAAAGUCUCUUUUGCUCAAAGCCAAAGGGAAGCUAUUAAAGAAGAAGCAUCCUCCAAGUUAGAAACAGUCCUGCGUCCAAUAGAGGGCAGCAAUUCUCCGUUGCAAGACAGUGGCGGCGCAAACGCCAUUUUGUGAUCUUGGCACUUUAUUAGCUGCGACCACAGUGAGUGUACAAGGUGUUGCAGGACACGUUCAAGUGGUCCACCGAGCAAUGAUGAGACCCUCAGACCUGAACAACCACCAAAGACCUCCAAAAGUGAGAAGUAAAUUU
This is a non-coding RNA of Doryrhamphus excisus (bluestripe pipefish), 665 nucleotides long. The record is from RefSeq and is a predicted model, not a curated record. NCBI's taxonomy places the organism in Eukaryota, Metazoa, Chordata, Actinopteri, Syngnathiformes, Syngnathidae.